AACGAACGCUGGCGGCAUGCCUAACACAUGCAAGUCGAACGAGACCUUCGGGUCUAGUGUCGCACGGGUGCGUAACGCGUGGGAACCUGCCCUUAGGUUCGGAAUAACUCCCCGAAAGGGGUGCUAAUACCGGAUAAUGUCUUCGGACCAAAGAUUUAUCGCCUUUGGAUGGGCCCGCGUUGGAUUAGCUAGUUGGUAGGGUAAAAGCCUACCAAGGCGACGAUCCAUAGCUGGUCUGAGAGGAUGAUCAGCCACACUGGGACUGAGACACGGCCCAGACUCCUACGGGAGGCAGCAGUGGGGAAUAUUGGAAAAUGGGCGAAAGCAUGAUCCAGCAAUGCCGCGUGAGUGAUGAAGGCCUUAGGGUUGUAAAGCUCUUUUACCCGGGAUGAUAAUGACAGUACCGGGAGAAUAAGCUCCGGCUAACUCCGUG
This 433-nucleotide ribosomal RNA is filed under the name uncultured bacterium. RNAcentral's name for it is "partial 16S ribosomal RNA". It matches the Rfam family "Bacterial small subunit ribosomal RNA", at positions 29 to 507 of the family's 1533-position model. The record is from RNAcentral.